CCAUCGAAUCUUCGAAACCCUUGAAGCUGGCGACCUAUCCCUAUCCGAUUGCAACCGCCUAUGCGACGCAGCCCGUUGACCAGAUCUACGGCCUCACGAAGGCAAUGAUCGUGAACUACGACAUGUACAAGGAUGCUGCGCCCGGUUCAUCCGGCCUCGAUGUCAAGAAGCAGACCAAGCAGUGGGUCAUCCCCUACCAUCCCGGCGCCGUGAAGGCCCUGAAGGAAGCCGGGCAAUGGACCGACGCGGAUGAAAAAUACAACAACGACCUGAUCAAGCGGCAGGGCGUUCUGGCGGAUGCAUGGAAAGCCUACAACACGGCAAGCGCA
This 329-nucleotide unclassified non-coding RNA is filed under the name Hevea brasiliensis (rubber tree). The record is from RNAcentral. Lineage: Eukaryota; Viridiplantae; Streptophyta; Magnoliopsida; Malpighiales; Euphorbiaceae.